CCUACGGGAGGCAGCAGUGGGGAAUAUUGGACAAUGGGCGAAAGCCUGAUCCAGCAAUGCCGCGUGAGUGAUGAAGGCCUUAGGGUUGUAAAGCUCUUUUACCAGGGAUGAUAAUGACAGUACCUGGAGAAUAAGCUCCGGCUAACUCCGUGCCAGCAGCCGCGGUAAUACGGAGGGAGCUAGCGUUGUUCGGAAUUACUGGGCGUAAAGCGUACGUAGGCGGUUAUUCAAGUCAGAGGUGAAAGCCUGGAGCUCAACUCCAGAACUGCCUUUGAGACUAGAUAGCUAGAAUCUUGGAGAGGUGAGUGGAAUUCCGAGUGUGGAGGUGAAAUUCGUAGAUAUUCGGAAGAACACCAGUGGCGAAGGCGACUCACUGGACAAGUAUUGACGCUGAGGUACGAAAGCGUGGGGAGCAAACAGGAUUAGAUACCCUGGUAGUCCACGCCGUAAAACGAUGAUAACUAGCUGUUCGGGCUCUACGAGCUGUGUGGCGCGAGCUACGACAUUAAGUUAGUUCCGCCGUCGGGUAGGUACGGUCGGCGAGAAGUAAACGUAACGUUAAAGAAGUUAGUUAGGCGUGAGACGNGCCGACGGACGACGACGAGGGAGGAGG
Molecule: ribosomal RNA, 613 nt
Filed under: uncultured bacterium
Lineage: Bacteria
Description: bacterial SSU rRNA
Rfam family: Bacterial small subunit ribosomal RNA (bases 1-521)
Source: RNAcentral